GAUGAACGCUGGCGGCGUGCCUAAUACAUGCAAGUCGAGCGAACGGACGAGAAGCCUGCUUCUCUGAUGUUAGCGGCGGACGGGUGAGUAACACGUGGAUAACCUACCUAUAAGACUGGGAUAACUUCGGGAAACCGGAGCUAAUACCGGAUGAUAUUUUGAACCGCAUGGUUCAAAAGUGAAAGACGGUCUUGCUGUCACUUAUAGAUGGAUCCGCGCUGCAUUAGCUAGUUGGUAAGGUAACGGCUUACCAAGGCAACGAUGCAUAGCCGACCUGAGAGGGUGAUCGGCCACACUGGAGCUGAGACACGGUCCAGACUCCUACGGGAGGCAGCAGUAGGGAAUCUUCCGCAAUGGGCGAAAGCCUGACGGAGCAACGCCGCGUGAGUGAUGAAGGUCUUCGGAUCGUAAAACUCUGUUAUUAGGGAAGAACAUAUGUGUAAGUAACUGUGCACAUCUUGACGGUACCUAAUCAGAAAGCCACGGCUAACUACGUG
RNAcentral lists this ribosomal RNA (497 nucleotides) under uncultured bacterium. Its description in RNAcentral is "partial 16S ribosomal RNA". It matches the Rfam family "Bacterial small subunit ribosomal RNA", at positions 28 to 507 of the family's 1533-position model. The record is from RNAcentral.